AGAGUUUGAUCAUGGCUCAGAUUGAACGUUGGCGGCAGGCCUAAGACAUGCAAGUCGAGCGGUAACAGAUCUAGCUUGCUAGAUGCUGACGAGCGGCGGACGGGUGAGUAACGCGUAGGAAUCUAUCCAGUAGCGGGGGAUCCAGUAGCGGGGGAUAGCCCGGGGAAACCCGGAUUAAUACCGCAUACGCCCCACGGGGGAAAGGCCGGGAUCUAUUUAUAGACCGGUCACUAUUGGAGGAGCCUGCGUUAGAUUAGCUAGUUGGUAGGGUAAAAGCCUACCAAGGCAACGAUCUAUAGCUGUUCUGAGAGGAAGAUCAGCCACACUGGAACUGAGACACGGUCCAGCUCCUACGGGAGGCAGCAGUAGGGAAUAUUGUGCAAUGGGGGAAACCCUGACACAGCCAUGCCGCGUGUGUGAAGAAGGCUCUAGGGUUGUAAAGCACUUUCAGUAGGGAGGAACAAGCUGGGUUAAUACCCCGGUCUAGUGACGUUACCUACAAAAGAAGAUCCGGCUAACUCCGUGCCAGCAGCCGCGGUAAUACGGAGGGAUCAAACGUUAAUCGGAAUUACUGGGCGUAAAGCGCGCGUAGGUGGUUUAUUAAGUGGGAUGUGAAAGCCCCGGGCUUAACCUGGGAACUGCAUUCCAAACUGAUAGACUAGAGUACGAUAGAGGGGGGUAGAAUUCAGAGUGUAGCGGUGAAAUGCGUAGAUAUUCUGAGGAAUACCGGUGGCGAAGGCGGCCCCCUGGAUUGAUACUGACACUGAGGUGCGAAAGCGUGGGGAGCAAACAGGAUUAGAUACCCUGGUAGUCCACGCCGUAAACGAUGUCUACUAGCCGUUGGGAGGCUUGACCUCUUAGUGGCGAAGCUAACGCGAUAAGUAGACCGCCUGGGGAGUACGGUCGCAAGAUUAAAACUCAAAUGAAUUGACGGGGGCCCGCACAAGCGGUGGAGCAUGUGGUUUAAUUCGAUGCAACGCGAAAAACCUUACCAGGCCUUGACAUCCAGAGAACUUUCUAGAGAUAGAUCGGUGCCUUCGGGAACUCUGUGACAGGUGUUGCAUGGCUGUCGUCAGCUCGUGUCGUGAGAUGUUGGGUUAAGUCCCGUAACGAGCGCAACCCUUAUCCUUAUUUGCCAGCACGUAAUGGUGGGAACUCUAAGGAGACUGCCGGUGAUAAACCGGAGGAAGGAGAGGAUGACGUCAAGUCAUCAUGGCCCUUACGGCCUGGGCUACACACGUGCUACAAUGGACAGUACAGAGGGAAGCGAUACCGCGAGGUGGAGCAAAUCCCAGAAAACUGUUCGUAGUCCGGAUCGGAGUCUGCAACUCGACUCCGUGAAGUCGGAAUCGCUAGUAAUCGCGAAUCAGCAUGUCGCGGUGAAUACGUUCCCGGGCCUUGUACACACCGCCCGUCACAUCAUGGGAGUGGGCUGCAAAAGAAGUGGCUAGUCUAACCUUCGGGAGGACGGUCACCACUUUGUGGUUCAUGACUGGGAUGAAGUCGGAACAAGGUAGCC
Molecule: ribosomal RNA, 1519 nt
Filed under: uncultured prokaryote
Description: partial 16S ribosomal RNA
Rfam family: Bacterial small subunit ribosomal RNA
Source: RNAcentral